UCUGCUACGGGUGGCGCUGUUGCUUGCUUCUGGAGGCGCUAUUCAACCUCUUUAAUAUCUGAUACGCACCUCAUUGAGGUGCUUCGAUAUUAAACUGAUUUUUGGACCUCGGCGAGAUGUCAGGGGCUUGCUCCGCUCUCGCCACGGGUUGGCCUGGUAUUGCAGUACCUCCAGGAUCGGCCCAUAAUAA
Small nuclear RNA from Lineus longissimus, 190 nucleotides. RefSeq annotates it as U2 spliceosomal RNA. The record is from RefSeq and is a predicted model, not a curated record. Lineage: Eukaryota; Metazoa; Nemertea; Pilidiophora; Heteronemertea; Lineidae. The transcript has a single exon.